AUGAGGAGAACAGUUGAGUUCAUAUCAGGAAAGCCAGAGCAACAAGCUUUUCCAGGAGAAUCAACAGCACACCAUUUUCUCCUCCAGUUCUAUUUUUAUGCUGUUGGCAACAUUCCUUGGGAGGGUUGUCUGCUCAGUUCCCCUCCACUCUCCAACCAAGGCUGGCUCUCAACAGCUGCUCAAGUUUGGGCCACUCCUUACACAGCCGGUUCCUCAUGCUGCUGGACCACCUCUACUGGCGUGAAUUCCUGUUCCCCACCAUUGAGCACCUUGCUAACAGAAUCAAAACAGUCUCAGGCUUUAGACUUGGAAAUAUUUACCUAUUAGAAUACACCAUCUAGAAGAGUCCAAUAAAACUGUAGUUUGCAUUUGGAAACCUCAA
RNAcentral lists this long non-coding RNA (382 nucleotides) under Chinchilla lanigera (long-tailed chinchilla). RNAcentral's name for it is "lncRNA (ENSCLAG00000029195.1)". Lineage: Eukaryota; Metazoa; Chordata; Mammalia; Rodentia; Chinchillidae. The record is from RNAcentral.